RNAcentral lists this ribosomal RNA (459 nucleotides) under uncultured bacterium. Its description in RNAcentral is "bacterial SSU rRNA". It matches the Rfam family "Bacterial small subunit ribosomal RNA", at positions 8 to 463 of the family's 1533-position model. The record is from RNAcentral.
AGAGUUUGAUCCUGGCUCAGAUUGAACGCUGGCGGCAGGCCUAACACAUGCAAGUCGAACGGUAACAGGAAACAGCUUGCUGUUUCGCUGACGAGUGGCGGACGGGUGAGUAAUGUCUGGGAAACUGCCUGAUGGAGGGGGGUAACUACUGGAAACGGUAGCUAAUACCGCAUAACGUCGCAAGACCAAAGAGGGGGACCUUAGGGCCUCUUGCCAUCGGAUGUGCCCAGAUGGGAUUAGCUAGUAGGUGGGGUAACGGCUCACCUAGGCGACGAUCCCUAGCUGGUCUGAGAGGAUGACCAGCCACACUGGAACUGAGACACGGUCCAGACUCCUACGGGAGGCAGCAGUGGGGAAUAUUGCACAAUGGGCGCAAGCCUGAUGCAGCCAUGCCGCGUGUAUGAAGAAGGCCUUCGGGUUGUAAAGUACUUUCAGCGGGGAGGAAGGGAGUAAAGUUAA